CCUCAGUAAAUGUUUAUUGGAUG
RNAcentral lists this microRNA (23 nucleotides) under Canis lupus familiaris (dog). Its description in RNAcentral is "Cfa-Mir-421-P1-v1_5p* (star (passenger))". The record is from RNAcentral. Lineage: Eukaryota; Metazoa; Chordata; Mammalia; Carnivora; Canidae. RNAcentral also lists the same sequence under 4 other names.